Molecule: ribosomal RNA, 460 nt
Filed under: uncultured bacterium
Lineage: Bacteria
Description: partial 16S ribosomal RNA
Rfam family: Bacterial small subunit ribosomal RNA
Source: RNAcentral
CCUACGGGAGGCAGCAGUGAGGAAUAUUGGUCAAUGGACGCGAGCCUGAACCAGCCAAGUAGCGUGAAGGAUGACUGCCCUAUGGGUUGUAAACUUCUUUUAUAUGGGAAUAAAAUGUUCCACGUGUGGGAUUUUGUAUGUACUUUAUGAAUAAGGAUCGGCUAACUCCGUGCCAGCAGCCGCGGUAAUACGGAGGAUCCGAGCGUUAUCCGGAUUUAUUGGGUUUAAAGGGAGCGUAGGUGGAUUGUUAAGUCAGUUGUGAAAGUUUGCGGCUCAACCGUAAAAUUGCAGUUGAUACUGGCAGUCUUGAGUACAGUAGAGGUAGGCGGAAUUCGUGGUGUAGCGGUGAAAUGCUUAGAUAUCACGAAGAACUCCGAUUGCGAAGGCAGCUCACUAAACUGCAACUGACACUGAGGCUCGAAAGUGUGGGUAUCAAACAGGAUUAGAUACCCGUGUAGUC